CCUACGGGGGCAGCAGUGGGGAAUAUUGGACAAUGGGGGCAACCCUGAUCCAGCCAUGCCGCGUGUGUGAAGAAGGCCCUCGGGUUGUAAAGCACUUUCAGUGAGGAAGAACGCCUGGUGGUUAAUACCCAUCAGGAAAGACAUCACUCACAGAAGAAGCACCGGCUAACUCCGUGCCAGCAGCCGCGGUAAUACGGAGGGUGCGAGCGUUAAUCGGAAUUACUGGGCGUAAAGCGCGCGUAGGUGGCUUGAUAAGCCGGUUGUGAAAGCCCCGGGCUCAACCUGGGAACGGCAUCCGGAACUGUCAAGCUAGAGUGCAGGAGAGGAAGGUAGAAUUCCCGGUGUAGCGGUGAAAUGCGUAGAGAUCGGGAGGAAUACCAGUGGCGAAGGCGGCCUUCUGGACUGACACUGACACUGAGGUGCGAAAGCGUGGGUAGCAAACAGGAUUAGAUACCCGGGUAGUC
Molecule: ribosomal RNA, 464 nt
Filed under: Vreelandella stevensii
Lineage: Bacteria; Pseudomonadati; Pseudomonadota; Gammaproteobacteria; Oceanospirillales; Halomonadaceae
Description: partial 16S ribosomal RNA
Rfam family: Bacterial small subunit ribosomal RNA
Source: RNAcentral